Molecule: RNA transcript, 3140 nt
Organism: Diospyros lotus (date-plum)
Lineage: Eukaryota; Viridiplantae; Streptophyta; Magnoliopsida; Ericales; Ebenaceae
Exons: 15
Source: RefSeq, a predicted model, not a curated record
UCAAGAGAAAACAGAAAAACCCUGACAUCCCCUUAAACCCUUCUUCUCCGCACAGCAAGAAGGGUUCUGCAUCACUUAGGGCGCCGAUUAGCUCUUUUGGCGGACCCCAAUUCUUGAACAAUUAAUUGUUUGUUUGAUUAUCCGUGAAGAGAUCGAGACCAAUCCGAUGGUGGCUUUCGAUCAUAUUCGGGACAUGAACGACAUUUCUCUGAAGCCUUGGUUGCUGCGUUCGCUCAUAAGAGAACACUUGCCGGACCAGAUGCGUCCAGUUAAGGGCGUUCCGAAGCUAUCAUAUGUUAUGUUUAUGGUCAAGACUUACCGACUGUUAUCGGAAUCUUCCGUUGAAAAAUCAAAUGACCCGAAGGUGUUCGAGAGCUGGAAAGCUGCUGUAGAUUCAUGGGUCGAUCGCUUAUUGAUGCUCGCAUCCAGCGAUAUGCCAGAUAAAUGCUGGACUGGAUUAUGUCUUCUAGGAGUGACUUGUCAAGAAUGCAGUUCUGAACGUUUCCUCGCAUCAUACUCCAUUUGGCUUCAGAAGCUCCUAUUCAAUAUUCAGCAGACGCCAGCAGAUUCUCAGUUCGUGAAGAUGGCUUCUUGUGCCUCCCUGUCGGAUCUAUUCACAAGAUAUUUUGUCUUUUCCCUCCAAAUUAGGCUGGGCAGCUUUCCAAGAGUAAAGAAAGAUGCCAACUCCCAGGCUAUUAAAGUUGUGCAACCUGUUUUGAAGCUUUUGAAUGAAGAUAGCUCAGAAGCUGUAUUGGAAGGAGCUGUUUGUUUGUUGUCCACCUUUAUAAAUUUCUUCCCCUCUUCCAUCAGUCGUUUUUAUAAUGGUGCUGAAACUGCUGUUGUUUCAAAAAUUAUGUCAGGGGACUGCAGUCAAAAGUUGUUGGAGGAACUUGGUGAUUGCCUAGCAUUGCUACCAAAAUCAAGAGGAGAUGAAGAUAGUUGGUCACUAAUGAUGCAGAAGAUUUUAUUAUCAAUCAAUGUGUACCUAAAUGAUACUUUUCAAGGUGUAGAAGAAGAAUCAAAAAGUAACGAAAUCAUCAGGCUAUUGGUUCCUCCUGGGAAAGAUCCCCCACCUCCCUUAGGUUAUUCAGGAGAAGUCUCAGAACAUACAACAAAACGACCUGAGCUGUUGCAAAUAUCCACUGUCUCUACCUUGAUGCGUUGUUGUUGUACAAUGCUUACAAGAUCUUAUCCUGUACAGGUGAAAGUUCCAGUCCGACCAUUGGUAACCCUUGCUCGGAGGGUCCUGAUGGUUGAUGGGUCCUUGUCCCAAGCCUUGUUGCCCUUCGUGACUUCCAUGCAACAAGAACGCAUUUGUUCUGAACUUCCACUUCUGCAUUUGUGCAGUCUGGAUCUCCUCAAUGCUGUCGUAAAGGGUGUGUGCAGUCAAUUGUUACCACAUGCAGCAGAAAUUGUGCUGCUAUUAACAGAGUAUUUCACUAGAUGUGCAUUGCCAGAUCUAAGGAUAAAGGUCUACUCAAUCAUAAGGAUUUUGCUUAUGUCCAUGGGGGUUGGAGUAGCAGUCCAUCUCAGCGAGGAAGUUAUCAAGAAUGCCAUUGCUGAUUUGGAGUCUAGUGCCCUUAAUGGUGGUGGAAUAUCUUCUAGUCUAUUUGCAAAGCCAUCCAGUGAGGUAUUGCUGCCUUUCCAAAAGAAACGGAAGCAUGAAAGUUCAAGUGAUCCUCCUGUAGAGCAGGCUGAUAGAGUUGAUCUGGAAGCGGGGAUGGUCAUUGACCCAGCUCCAAUAUCAGUAAAGAUAGCUGCACUAGAAGCACUAGAAGCAUUUCUGACUGUGGGUGGUACUUUGGGAGCUAACAGCUGGAGACCAAGUGUUGAUUAUCUUCUUAUAAAUGUAGCAACACAUGCAUGCAAAGGAGUAUGGGCCAAGGAGGAGAAACAUAUUUUUCUUUCCGGUGAAUCUGCCACAACCUGGGCAGAUUUUCAGCUUGCAGCCUUAGGUGCAGUUUUGGCAUCUCUUCUUUCACCUUCUCGUUUUCGGUCCCCAAUUCUACCUCGUAGUCUCGAGCUUUUCCAUAGAGGCACACGAGGAACCAGAACUAAACUUACUGAAUUCUGUGCUCAUGCACUUCGCUCCUUGGAAAUGCUUAUACAUCCUCGGGCACUCUCCCUUUUUGAUCUGUCAUCCCGCAGCACCUCCUUUGAUGAUGUUCACAGCAAGUUUCCAAAUGCAUACUCCUAUGAGGAACAAAAUUCUCCAGUUUCAAGAAGCAACCUUGGAAAGAGGCCAGUUGAUUUCAUCGUAGAGGAUGAUGACCUGUACAAAAGUUGGCUAGCAGAAGACGAGCAUGAGAUUCCUGCGACUGACCCUGGAAAGGAUAAAAUUUUUACUCUGAAACCUCCGGAGAUAACUAUAGAUCCAUCACCCGAGAAAAUUUCCCCUGUACCUGAUUCUCAGGGUACUAGAGUUCUUGAAAGAAGUGGACAGGAGUUGGCAUCAGCCAGUGCUGCUCAGGAGACCGAAGGAGAAGCAGAUGAAGCACCUCUGUUUCAAUAUCCCGCUAAGCAAGGUGAUCUAAUACCUGCUGUCGAAGUCUCUGCAGCGCCUCAACUCGGGGCUUUUUCAGAAAGUGGAGCAUCAGUUCCUGCAGAAGGCCCAUUGGCAACCCAUGCUGUGGUCGACAGGGCUGAAGCGUUUGCGACAGGAACUGUCACUACUACAACUUCUAGGUUGGAGAGAAGCCAGCAACUUGCAAUCGACUUGGAUAGUGAAGCAUCAAUGGAGUCACUUCCUGAUAUCGUCGAUGCAGAUCCAGAUUCUGACUAGGAUUUCCAAAUUUGGGUAACUUACAAUGAAAUCAAUCUGUGAAAUACACAGGAGAAUGCCCUCUGACCAGACCACCCAUUCUGGAUAUCUAUUUGACUUGGAUGCUGAGUGAAGGAAUCACUUCCUCAUAUCAUGGCUUUUCAAAAGUGAAGGUUGUAAGCAAGACAUGUAACUGUCAUAGAUGGUAAUCAGAAUUUAGAUUAUUUUCUCCUCGUCAUGUAACAUUACGUUCUGGUUCUGGUUCUGGAUUCUAUUUUAUGUUUUGUUAAAGAGACAGUGAAACUGACCAUGGAUUUCUGCGCUUGAUAUUUCUCAAGCAAAUAUCAAUUUUGACAUGUAGUUCUGAUUGCAUUUGUCU